This 437-nucleotide ribosomal RNA is filed under the name uncultured bacterium. Its description in RNAcentral is "partial 16S ribosomal RNA". It matches the Rfam family "Bacterial small subunit ribosomal RNA", at positions 29 to 507 of the family's 1533-position model. The record is from RNAcentral.
AGCGAACGCUGGCGGCAGGCUUAACACAUGCAAGUCGAGCGGGCAUCCUUGUGGUGUCAGCGGCAGACGGGUGAGUAACGCGUGGGAACGUGCCCUUCGGUUCGGAAUAACUCAGGGAAACUUGAGCUAAUACCGGAUACGUGCGAGAGCAGAAAGGUUUAUCUGCCGAAGGAUCGGCCCGCGUCUAAUUAGCUAGUUGGUGAGGUUAUGGCUCACCAAGGCGACGAUCAGUAGCUGGUCUGAGAGGAUGAUCAGCCACACUGGGACUGAGACACGGCCCAGACUCCUACGGGAGGCAGCAGUGGGGAAUAUUGGACAAUGGGGGCAACCCUGAUCCAGCCAUGCCGCGUGAGUGAUGACGGCCUUAGGGUUGUAAAGCUCUUUUCUCCGGGACGAUAAUGACGGUACCGGAGGAAUAAGCCCCGGCUAACUUCGUG